CUUGCUGGAAGCAGUUAUCAGAAGAUGAGUACACUGUGAUCGUAAAGAGAUUGAAAUGGCUACAAUACUGGGGUAGGCUGUGCUGGUUAAAUCAUGGUCAGCUGGUACUAAGGGGUGCAAAUUGUGCCAAGACAAUAUCCCCUACACCAUCACCAGCAGACUGAACUGUUGAGAGAAGAACGAUGCCACGCUUGCAGUCCGGUGUGUGGAAGCAUUUUACCCCAGCCAUCAAAGAUGGAAGAGAGACCUUCAUGUGCAACUACUGCUCAAAGACAUACACAAAGAACGCGACUAAGAUGCAGAUGCAUUUAGACAAAUGCAAGGAGUACUCUGUGGUUUCGCAGCAGUCGCCGGGCCCAGAUGGGAGCUCCUCUGCCUCCAUCCCUGUUCCCUCCUUAUCAUUCUUGCCAUCUGCCACUCCUGGGGGACAGUUCCUCAUUGAUUCUGUGGACCAGCGCAGCCAGGCGUAUGCCGACGAGUGCCUGGCGAGAGCUGUGUACGCCACAUCUUCACCCCUCACUCUCACAGACAAUAUUUACUGGAAACGAUUUUUCAGUGUGCUUCGGCCGGCUUAUUGUCCGCCCCCUAAAGAGGCUCUUUCCUCACAUCUGUUGGACUGUGAGUUUGACAGAGUACAAAGCCAGGUUCAUGAGAGCAUAGGGAAAGCAGACUGCGUCGCCAUCAUCAGCAGUGGCUGGUCUAACGUGAAAGAAACUGGGACUAUUAUCUAUGCUGUUGCUACUCCCGUACCGCUGUUUUACAAAUGCACGAUGACAAAGGAGCAGACACACACAAGCGAAUUUAUUGCUGAGGAACUUAAAGGCGUCAUAAAUGAAGUCGGCUCACAAAAGGUUUUCGCUGUCGUCACCGACGAUGUCCCGGAAAUGAUGGCAGCGUGGGCUCAAGUGGAGGAAGCUUUCCCGCACAUCUCAGCUAUUGGCUGCACAGCGUCCGGUGUCGAGCGUCUCUUUGACGACAUAGUGGCGCAGCCGUCUAUGAAGUCACUGUGCAGGAGAGCUGAGCAGGUGGUGAGGUGUGUUCAAGAACAGCAAAUGUUAAGUGAGACUUUUAGGUGCUGGCAGACUACAAAAAUAAGAAACCACACUUUUAAAGGGACAGCACUGGAACUGCCCUCUGGCACAAACUGGACUGGUGUGGUUAACAUGUUCAGCAGCCUCCUCGAGGGUCAGAACUCUCUACGAGAGAUGGCAGUCUCUACCACACUGGAUAUUGAAGUGACUGUCAGGGCUACCUUGCAGGAUGCCGCGUUUUGGAAAGGGCUGAGCAGCAGUCGGAACUUACUGUACUUGAUUGGGAAUUAUAUUGAUUUCUUGAAAAGAGAAGAUGCCGCACUCUCUGGUGUUGUCGACAUGUUCAGUCAGCUAAGAUACGUCAUCGGGACUUCUCUGUCAGCAUCUGUGCUGCACAGCGCCGAGCAGAAAGCGGUCAUGGCAUCAUUAGACAGGUGUCAGGAGUUCUGCGUGAAACCUAUCCACGCAGCAGCGUACAUGCUCGAUCCAAAGCACGUCGGACAGCAGACGCUCACCGGGGAGCAGAUAAACAGCGCUUACUACGUGAUAUCCAACCUGUCGCACCAUUUGAAUCUCGACGAGGGUAAAGUGCUCGGCAGCUUUGCCAGGUUCUCGGCCAAGCAGGGACUGUGGAAGGGGGCCGGAAUAUGGAGCUCGUGUCAGCACGUGUCCGCAUCCACGUGGUGGAAAGGCCUGUGCUCUUCUGAGCCGCUGUCUGCCGUAGCCUUCGCUAUACUCCAGAUCCCACCGACAACAGGUGCGUGCGAGCGCCUGUGGCAGCACCUCCGUAGUACGAAGGUGAAAGGCUUUGUCUCACCGGAGAGGGUGCAGAAACUUGUCGCAGUGCAGGCAAAUCUCAAUCUUUUAGAGCCAAGUGACUUCGACUAUGCUCCACUGGAGAGUGACGAAGAGAAAAAGGCUUCAUUUCAAUCAGAGUCUCACCAGUAAGAAAAAUGCCUUACAGUGUAAUAGAAUACAACUAUUAGACUAGAUGUAUUCCUUUCAGUGUACAGGAUUUGAACUACUCUAUAAAAGUAAGUAAACUGCACCGUGCUCAUGUUUCUUUAUUCAAUCCAAGGCUUUUAGAGAAAACACCUUCAUAAGGAGACACUGAAUCAGAUGCCUUCAUGUGUUUUAGUGAAUUCAAGUUUUUUUGUAUUACAUAAUCACGUAGUAUGUAUCAACUUUUUAAUCACAACGUAAAAUAUUAACACAACAACAAGGUCAUAUAUUUCUUACAGCAACUAAACCAUGUAAAUAAAACCACUG
Molecule: long non-coding RNA, 2300 nt
Organism: Oreochromis aureus
Lineage: Eukaryota; Metazoa; Chordata; Actinopteri; Cichliformes; Cichlidae
Source: Ensembl